RNAcentral lists this ribosomal RNA (468 nucleotides) under uncultured bacterium. RNAcentral's name for it is "partial 16S ribosomal RNA". It matches the Rfam family "Bacterial small subunit ribosomal RNA", at positions 28 to 507 of the family's 1533-position model. The record is from RNAcentral.
GACGAACGCUGGCGGCGUGCUUAACACAUGCAAGUCGAACGGAAAGGCCCUGCUUUUGUGGGGUGCUCGAGUGGCGAACGGGUGAGUAACACGUGAGUAACCUGCUCUUGACUUUGGGAUAACUUCAGGAAACUGGGGUUAAUACCGGAUAGGAGCUCCUGCUGCGUGGUGGGGGUUGGAAAGUUGCGGCUGGUGGGGAUGGACUCGCGGCUAAUCAGCUGGUUGGUGGGGGAGUGGCUUACCCAGGCUUGGACGGGUAGCCGGCCGGAGAGGGUGGCCGGCCUCAUGGGGCCUGCGAGACGCACCAGAGUCCUACGGUAGGCAGUAGGGGGGAAUAUUACACAACGGGACGACGCGUGAGACAGCAGCGCCCCGUGCGUGAUGACGGCCUUCGGGUUGUAAACCGCUUUCGCCUGUGACGAAGCUUGAGUGACGGUAAUGGGUAAAGAAGCACCGGCUAACUACGUG